UGGUGGAGUGGUUUGUCUGGUUAAUUCCGUUAACGAACGAGACCUUAACCUGCUAAAUAGUUACGCUAACUCUGGUUGGCGCUUAACUUCUUAGAGGGACUAUGGAUUUUUAAUCCAUGGAAGUUUGAUGCAAUAACA
This 138-nucleotide ribosomal RNA is filed under the name uncultured eukaryote. Its description in RNAcentral is "partial 18S ribosomal RNA". It matches the Rfam family "Eukaryotic small subunit ribosomal RNA", at positions 1299 to 1458 of the family's 1831-position model. The record is from RNAcentral.